GACGAACGCUGGCGGCGUGCUUAACACAUGCAAGUCGAACGGUAAGGCCCUUCGGGGUACACGAGUGGCGAACGGGUGAGUAACACGUGGGUGAUCUACCCUGCACUUCGGGAUAAGCCUGGGAAACUGGGUCUAAUACCGGAUAGGACCCUGGGAUGCAUGUCCUGGGGUGGAAAGCAUUUGCGGUGUGGGAUGGGCCCGCGGCCUAUCAGCUUGUUGGUGGGGUGAUGGCCUACCAAGGCGACGACGGGUAGCCGGCCUGAGAGGGGUGACCGGCCACACUGGGACUGAGAUACGGCCCAGACUCCUACGGGAGGCAGCAGUGGGGAAUAUUGCACAAUGGGCGCAAGCCUGAUGCAGCGACGCCGCGUGAGGGAUGACGGCCUUCGGGUUGUAAACCUCUUUCAGCACCGACGAAGCGCAAGUGACGGUAGGUGCAGAAGAAGGACCGGCCAACUACGUGCCAGCAGCCGCGGUAA
Molecule: ribosomal RNA, 479 nt
Filed under: uncultured bacterium
Lineage: Bacteria
Description: partial 16S ribosomal RNA
Rfam family: Bacterial small subunit ribosomal RNA
Source: RNAcentral